RNAcentral lists this ribosomal RNA (253 nucleotides) under uncultured bacterium. RNAcentral describes it as "partial 16S ribosomal RNA". It matches the Rfam family "Bacterial small subunit ribosomal RNA", at positions 524 to 776 of the family's 1533-position model. The record is from RNAcentral.
UACGGAGGGUUCAAGCGUUGUCCGGAAUCACUGGGCGUAAAGGGCGCGUAGGCGGCUCAUGAAGGCUGUGGUGAAAGUCCGGGGCUCAACCUCGGAUCGGCCGUGGCGACUCGUGGGCUGGAGCACUGUAGAGGCGGGUGGAAUUCCGGGUGUAGCGGUGGAAUGCGUAGAGAUCCGGAAGAACACCAGUGGCGAAGGCGGCCCGCUGGGCAGUGGCUGACGCUGAGGCGCGAAGGCGUGGGGAGCGAACGGG